This 236-nucleotide ribosomal RNA is filed under the name uncultured bacterium. RNAcentral describes it as "partial 16S ribosomal RNA". It matches the Rfam family "Bacterial small subunit ribosomal RNA", at positions 98 to 334 of the family's 1533-position model. The record is from RNAcentral.
CCGCACGGGUGAGUAACACGUAUCCAACCUGCCGUCUACUCUUGGACAGCCUUCUGAAAGGAAGAUUAAUACAAGAUGGCAUCAUGAGUCCGCAUGUUCACAUGAUUAAAGGUAUUCCGGUAGACGAUGGGGAUGUGUUCCAUUAGAUAGUAGGCGGGGUAACGGCCCACCUAGUCUUCGAUGGAUAGGGGUUCUGAGAGGAAGGUCCCCCACAUUGGAACUGAGACACGGUCCAA